RNAcentral lists this ribosomal RNA (1019 nucleotides) under Vibrio parahaemolyticus. RNAcentral describes it as "bacterial SSU rRNA". It matches the Rfam family "Bacterial small subunit ribosomal RNA", at positions 399 to 1410 of the family's 1533-position model. Lineage: Bacteria; Pseudomonadati; Pseudomonadota; Gammaproteobacteria; Vibrionales; Vibrionaceae. The record is from RNAcentral.
GCGUGUGUGAAGAAGGCCUUCGGGUUGUAAAGCACUUUCAGUCGUGAGGAAGGCGGUGUAGUUAAUAGCUGCAUCGUUUGACGUUAGCGACAGAAGAAGCACCGGCUAACUCCGUGCCAGCAGCCGCGGUAAUACGGAGGGUGCGAGCGUUAAUCGGAAUUACUGGGCGUAAAGCGCAUGCAGGUGGUUUGUUAAGUCAGAUGUGAAAGCCCGGGGCUCAACCUCGGAAUUGCAUUUGAAACUGGCAGACUAGAGUACUGUAGAGGGGGGUAGAAUUUCAGGUGUAGCGGUGAAAUGCGUAGAGAUCUGAAGGAAUACCGGUGGCGAAGGCGGCCCCCUGGACAGAUACUGACACUCAGAUGCGAAAGCGUGGGGAGCAAACAGGAUUAGAUACCCUGGUAGUCCACGCCGUAAACGAUGUCUACUUGGAGGUUGUGGCCUUGAGCCGUGGCUUUCGGAGCUAACGCGUUAAGUAGACCGCCUGGGGAGUACGGUCGCAAGAUUAAAACUCAAAUGAAUUGACGGGGGCCCGCACAAGCGGUGGAGCAUGUGGUUUAAUUCGAUGCAACGCGAAGAACCUUACCUACUCUUGACAUCCAGAGAACUUUCCAGAGAUGGAUUGGUGCCUUCGGGAACUCUGAGACAGGUGCUGCAUGGCUGUCGUCAGCUCGUGUUGUGAAAUGUUGGGUUAAGUCCCGCAACGAGCGCAACCCUUAUCCUUGUUUGCCAGCGAGUAAUGUCGGGAACUCCAGGGAGACUGCCGGUGAUAAACCGGAGGAAGGUGGGGACGACGUCAAGUCAUCAUGGCCCUUACGAGUAGGGCUACACACGUGCUACAAUGGCGCAUACAGAGGGCGGCCAACUUGCGAAAGUGAGCGAAUCCCAAAAAGUGCGUCGUAGUCCGGAUUGGAGUCUGCAACUCGACUCCAUGAAGUCGGAAUCGCUAGUAAUCGUGGAUCAGAAUGCCACGGUGAAUACGUUCCCGGGCCUUGUACACACCGCCCGUCACACCAUGGGAG